RNAcentral lists this long non-coding RNA (1038 nucleotides) under Mytilus galloprovincialis (Mediterranean mussel). Lineage: Eukaryota; Metazoa; Mollusca; Bivalvia; Mytilida; Mytilidae. The record is from RNAcentral.
AGUACACAUGACAUAAACUAGAUCCAAAAAAAUAGUACAUUAUAAAGCCAACUAAAUUUCAAAAGCAGCCAUGAUAAGUAUUCUACAGGAGCUGGUUAAUACGCUUAUUAACUAAUUUAAAUAUUUUUUUCCUGCAAAAAUUGUUGAACACAUACACAUAAAAAACAUGACAAAAACGUUACAUUCAUAUCCGACAAAGUUUAUGAUAUUGCUAUUUAGGUCCUCUAUCUUCUGUCAUGUAAAGAUUUUUACAAAAAGUUUUUGGGGUAGGUGUUGUAAUUCCUAUGAUAACGCAUAUUGUAACUGUUAUCACGGAUGAAAAAAAAAACCAUACAUAUCAAACAAAUCAUAUAAACAAAAAAUUAAACAAAACCAAAAUAUAAAAAAGAAAACAGCUCGAAAGAAAAGAAUCUGAAAAAAAUCACACCAAUCCAUUCAGUAUUGUUGUAACUUACUUUCAUUUAUUAUUCUAGUACAGUAUUACUGAUUGAAAAAAAUCAUCAGUGGCGCUCAUUUCAAAACAGUUGAAUGCCAAAUAAAAUACAAUCGAAGAUCCUUAAUGCUUUCAAAUUCAUAAUUUAUUUGGCCAUUUUAACGUUUUGAUUCAGCGCGAGUUUGUUUUUUUUUUUGUAAACAAACGCGCAUCUGGCAUUCAUAAUUUUAAGAAUUGUACCAAUGAUGAGUUGAUCAACAGAACUAAUAGUAAAAAAAACCAAAAUCAAAUGUUGCCCAAAAUUAGAUUUUCAAUGAUAGAGCCCGCAAUGAUUACCCGCCAAAAAGAUAAAUAAAAAAACCUAACAUUUGCCUGAUAUAAUUAGUUCUCAGGUUAACAAAAUACGAAUUUUUUGUGUUAUUAAAAUUUGCUGUUACAAAAUAUUAGAAAUUAUUAUAAAUUAAGGAAUGUAUCUCCCUCAUGCAAAGCUCUGAUUCCUUUCACGAAUUUGGCUAUACUUUUUGGACCUUUUGGAUUAUAGCUCUUCAUGUUUUAUAUAAGCUUUGGAUUUCAAAUAUAUUAGCCACGAGCAUCACUGAAGAGAC